AGAGUUUGAUCCUGGCUCAGAUUGAACGCUGGCGGCAUGCCUUACACAUGCAAGUCGAACGGCAGCACGGGAGCUUGCUCCUGGUGGCGAGUGGCGAACGGGUGAGUAAUGCAUCGGAACGUGCCCUGAAGUGGGGGAUAACGUAGCGAAAGUUACGCUAAUACCGCAUAUUCUGUGAGCAGGAAAGCAGGGGGAUCUUCGGACCUUGCGCUUUUGGAGCGGCCGAUGUCGGAUUAGCUAGUUGGUGGGGUAAAGGCCCACCAAGGCGACGAUCCGUAGCGGGUCUGAGAGGAUGAUCCGCCACACUGGAACUGAGACACGGUCCAGACUCCUACGGGAGGCAGCAGUGGGGAAUUUUGGACAAUGGGCGCAAGCCUGAUCCAGCCAUGCCGCGUGAGUGAAGAAGGCCUUCGGGUUGUAAAGCUCUUUCGGUGGGGAAGAAAUUGCUUGGGUUAAUACCCUGAGUAGAUGACGGUACCCGCAUAAGAAGCACCGGCUAACUACGUG
Molecule: ribosomal RNA, 507 nt
Filed under: uncultured bacterium
Lineage: Bacteria
Description: bacterial SSU rRNA
Rfam family: Bacterial small subunit ribosomal RNA
Source: RNAcentral